This 1174-nucleotide long non-coding RNA is filed under the name Phascolarctos cinereus (koala). Its description in RNAcentral is "lncRNA (ENSPCIG00000014120.2)". The record is from RNAcentral. Lineage: Eukaryota; Metazoa; Chordata; Mammalia; Diprotodontia; Phascolarctidae.
UUGCUGCUAUGGUUGUUUUAGUAUUUCUGUAGUGAGAUUGCUAUAUCAAAGUGAAUGAACCGUUCACUAACUUUUCUUGCAUAAUUACAAUUUAUUUUCCAGACUGCUUAGAUUAGGUUGCAGUUGAUCAAUUAUAACUUACAAUUUUGUCUUCCCGUGACUCCUCCAACAGUGACUUUUUCCAACCUUUCCAAUUUGAUAAAUAUGAAGUGAUGCUGAAGCUAUAGUUCAUUUUUGGUCACAGCAACUUCUGAGUACAACAAUUAAGAAGUUGAGCUUUGUGAGCAUCAAGAGAGCAUAGACAGUGACGAAACCAUAGAUCCCAGAAUCACUGGUAAGAAGUGGAAGCUUAUGAAAAUGUUACAUACUAGGAGAUGAUUAUAAUAAUAAUUUAUAUAACAACUUGCAAAGCACUUACAGUAACUCUGAGAGGUUGGUAGUAUAAGUAGAACUAUACCCAUUUCACAGAUGAGGACACUGAGAAUCAGUGAUGUUUCAUGACAUACCCACAGUCAAAUGGCUGGCAAACAGAGUUAGGACUCAAACUUGGAUCUUCAGAUUCCAAGUCUAAUGAUCUCUCUGUUGCACCAUGUUGGCAAUGAUGACAAGCAUAUGGUGUCAGGGCAAGGCAUUUAGACAAGGAAAAAUCAGAAUCAGAACCAGUCACUGGCUAGAAGCCUGAUCCUCUUACAAUGAGGGGAAAGGCUUCAAGAAAUGUAUGAGCAACUGGUCGGGCUUCUUGCAGUCUGCUGUUCAACCAUGGGUGGGGUCAAGCUACAAAAGAUAGACCAGCUGGAAAUCCAGGAAGCUGAGUCAGGGAACUGUGCCUAGAGACUGGGAAGGGACAAACACAAAACAAGUCAGCCCGUCCAGCAGUCCCUGUGGCACAGCCAGGAUAGUGAAUUGGAAUAGGCUGCAAUCUCUGAUGCCAAAAAUGACACUUUCACCCUGCUGAAUGAGGCUGGCCUCAGUUUUCAUGAAGCUCUUCUGGAUUUUUUGGACAUAGACAACAGAGAUAGAGCAACAGUGAGCUGUGGAGUCUUGGAAGAGGAUAAACCACUGUCCAACAAGAGAAUAUACACAAUUAAGAAAGAGAAAAGAGCCUUUCCAUUAAUUAACAAGCUGGACUGGAGAAUGAGGCAAGAGGGCUAUUGAGAUCACACUGAUCCCAAGC